RNAcentral lists this long non-coding RNA (23447 nucleotides) under Gossypium barbadense (sea-island cotton). RNAcentral describes it as "long non-coding RNA (GBAR_LNC018042)". The record is from RNAcentral. Lineage: Eukaryota; Viridiplantae; Streptophyta; Magnoliopsida; Malvales; Malvaceae.
AGCGAGGUAAGGAAAUUUUAGCAACCUAGUCCCGUGCAGAUUUGAAAAUUAUUGAUAAAACUUUUGGUGACUUAGUUCUUAAAAGAUCCCCUCAUUUUGAUUCGAUUAAUUGUUAUUCUUCGAUUGUGGUUGAUAAAGUCAUUACGAAAGGAAACGUGAGUUGUUAUUCUCUUGAUUUGCCUUGUGUAAAAUCCGUGAAUUUGUACAAACCCGUUUUGGAGAAUAAAAAAAGUUUUGAAUGUAUGUUGGUAUGUAUUCGAAAAUCGUCAUUGUUUAACUUGAUUGGUUUAAUGAAAUCUUUGUUACACUUCGGCAUGACUAAUCAAAAUCAAGUUUUUAAACCUGGAAUCUGUUUUGGUAUAUUUUGUUGGAAAAUCAAGCAUCAAAAUAGCAAAAUUGGACCAAGAUUCGGUUUCUUGAUUUUCUUGAAAACAAGAAAGUGAAUCUUGAUUUUCUUUUUCCUUCGUGUACGUAUCUAAGGCCUUGCUAAUAAAUUCUUGAAUGGUUCCAUUUAGUUUUGAAUGCAUUUGUCUGGCCUUUGACCUCAUUAUUGGGCCUUGUGGUAAUUUGGGCCCAUCACGUCCUUGAGCUUGAAUUGGGCCUUUGUGACUCGUAUCAUUCCCCCUUCCCCAAAAAGAUUCAUCCUCGAAUCUGAAAAAUCAAAUGGACUCGACUUUCCUCGAUCGAACGGGACUAAUGGCAAUUGAGUCCACUGAAAAGAAUAGCCAUGAGUUAGUAAAUAACAACGCAAACAAACUUGUAGUCCAACAAUAAGCAUAAUAAAGCAAGUAUAAUGCAUGCGAAUGGACAGAUUCAGAUAACCAUGCAAAUAAGCUAAUUUACUCGCCAAUGCCUCGUCAAAUAUUCGAAACAAAGAUGGACAUGUUUUAAGGCAUUCAAUCAUCUCAAAUUGUUUCCACAAACCAUGAAUAAAUCGUGAGUAAUAAAUCAAAUGGUAAACGUAAUCGUCACAAGUAGGUAUUUGAAAAGGUUCACACAGUUCAUAGAGUUGCACAAUCAUACCAUGCAUUAAUCGACGGACUAUAGAUUCACUCACACAUGCAUCAUAAAAAUUAUCAAGAACAAUAAUCUUUUUAUCAACCAUCAAAACAGAUAGAUCAUCAAUAAAUAAAAUAGGACAGUCAAGCACAUUUCGAUCUAAGUGUUUUACAAAAAUUAAAUCAUCAACACAACCUUUGUCACUAUCCGAGGAGUACAAAAGUGUUUCAAAAGUUUAAAGCAUCUUACCUUUAUAAGCAGAAGAAUAAGGGUCGAUUUUACCUUUUCCAUUUAAUACAAACCUUCGCUCAUCGGGGGCAUAGUGUAGUCGAAGCUCUGUUGUUGAGUUAACCUUUGUCAAAUGGAACUCAAACUUCAUGUACAACCACAGAAACUGUUUAAGGCACGAAUAUAAAUUGAAAACAAAUUUGGAAAAUUUCGUUACCUUUUUCAAAAACCAAGUAUCAAAACAAUAGAAAGUAUUUGCACAGAAUAGAUGAUGCUUGAUUUUCCAACAAAAUAUACCAAAACAGAUUCCGGGUUUAAAAACUUGAUUUUGAUUAGUCAUGCCGAAGUGUAACAAAGAUUUCAUUAAACCAAUCAAGUUAAACCAUGAGGAUUUUCGCAUACAUACCAACAUACAUUCAAAACUUUUUUUAUUCACCAAAACAGAUUUGCACAAAUUCGCGGAUUUUACACAAGGCAAAUCAAGAGAAUAACAACUAACGCUUCCUUUCGUAAUGACUUUAUCAACCACAAUCAAAGAAUAAAAAUUAAUCGGAUCAAAAUGAAGGGAUCUUUUAAGAACUAAGUCACCAAAAGUUUUAUCAAUAAUUUUCAAAUCUGCACGGGACUCGGUUGCUAAAAUUUCCUUACCUCGCUUACCUUCGGGCUCAUGUAGUGUGAUUUCAUCUUUGCCUAUGUUGAUCGUAUGAAAAAGUCUUUCAUUUGAGAGGUAUUGAAGUUGAAAGUUAUCUUUCAAUAUUUCAGGAACCUGAAAAGUAGCAACACAAGAAAAAUUCAUAUCUUGGUUAGUGGGAACAUUCCUCACUACCCUUUCCUCGCCUUUUUCUUUUGUUUCUUUUUUUCGUCUCUCAAUCUCAUUCCAUAUUAGCUCAUUUUCUUGCAUCAACAUCUCUUGCCUCUCUUUUCUUUUUAUUUCUUUUUGUGCCUUCCUUUCAUUACAAGAUAGAGAUGUUACAAAUGAAUCAGAAUGUAAAGACUCUCGUUGGGUAUGUACGGAAUGACUUGCAUACGAACAAUGAUCCCCUUGGAAAACUUCACUCUCGAAACUUGCUUUGCAUCGUCUUGAAUUCCUCAUUGAAUAGGAGUCAUGAUAUGAAUCUCUUCUCGAAUAUUCGUUGGAUGUUCGUCUUCUUGGCACUCUCAUUUCUGCCUUUUCACUUAAGUUAAGUUGUCCUCGUUGGGCUCUUUUCUCCACUCGCAUCUCAUUGAUAGUAGCACUCAAUGUUCGAAGUAUGGCAGCCCAUUCGUCUAAUUGUUGUUGGAUCAUUUUAAAUUUAUCAUGGACAUCAUUAUGGUCAUCAUCAACUUGACCAACUCUAGACAUUUUUUUCUUUUUUUCAAAAACUUGCAAAACAAACACUCAACACUCAAAAAGGAAAAUUAGCAAACCUCACCGUUAAUCACUCAAAAAGGAAAAUCAAAUUCUCAAAGAGGUAGAAUUUAGUCUUGUGAGUUCUUUAGUAGAGUCUAUAUCAAUCAAUUAGAAAGUGUAUGAACCGAAACUACCAAAGAAUCCUAAUUUGCACUAGGAGUCCAGAAAUAACGAGACACCAAUUGAUUUGUGUCGCACCGAGGAAGAAUUGUGCACACUUUUAAAUCCUACUAACACAAGAAACAAGAAGGUGUUAGAUAUUCUAAAGGAAUAAUAAAGGCAAAACAAAUGAAAACCUACAGCUAAGAAUCAAUAAAAAUUGAUGAAACCCAAAAACUCGAAAAACCGCGGAGUAACUUGACAACUUCGUUCGAGGUGUUCCCGAUCUCCAAAAAUCACGAAAUUUAAACUGUAAUGUCCUUAAAUAUUUUAUAUUGGAUCUGAAAAGUUUCGGCACUAAACUCAACCCGCUGAAUAUUUUUUUAAUAUUUCUUUAUUACGUAUUUUUUAAUUUUUUUGACUUUUUCUACUGAUUUUUUACGGGAAAUAUUUUUUAAUAAUCUAUCACAGUGGCACAAAUAUUCAUAUAAAAUUUAAGACCAAUCGGACAACGUUUACCCACUCAAAUUAGUUUUUUCCAAAACCUUUUCUGGGUAAAAAUUGUUGUUUAAUGUUUUUAAAAGGAGAUCAGUUUAGAAAUCAACCAAAAACACCCAAAACCGCCAAAAUCUGAUACCAAAUCAUAGAGGGUUGCGCGCGGACCAAGAUCAAGUUGCCAAGUCACGGAAAAGUCCUACGAGAUCUAUAAACAAAUUGGCUGCAACGAAACCAGAAAACAGAGAACUAAACUUGUCAGAUCAAGAAACCCAAAUCGAAUAGAAUAAGAAAUACUUGGGCGGCAAGAAAUCUGGAAAUUAUGAAUGAAGAACGUUUCUUGAUGCCUUAGGCCAAAUCAGAUCUUGAAGUUUGGAAAGGCUGAAAUGCAACAAGAAGAAUUAAACCCAAGUUAAUCAAUAAAUCAGCACAAACAGAAAUUAAUAAAGAAGAAUGAAUAGCAAGAAAAUAAAGAAAGUCCUAAGAAGCCUUGAAAUCGAUAAAGAUUUCACAACUCCCUUCAAACGGCUCUAAUCUCCCCUCCAAUGAAGAACAAAGGCAAGAAGAAGGCUGAAGAUGGCUCCCACAAUCAAAAAGAUUGUUAAAACUCCUUCUAAAGAAAACUUAAGAGAAAAUUCUUGUAGAACUCAAAGAGAAUUUUCACUCAACAAAACAAAUCUGAUUUCAAUGUAUUCUUCAAGUGUAAUAUGUAUAAGGGUGGCUGGCCAAGCCACACCUAUAGGCCUUCUAACUAUUUUCCUAGUCCUAAUAGGAAAACUAAAAAAAAAACCUAAUUUUUUUUUACUUUCAAGGGGAAAUUCGGCUAAGGACUUUAAAUGGGCCUCUUGGACUGAAUUUUUACAUAGAAAUAUAUUCAUAAAGUCUAAAAAUAAAAACUAAGUAUUUAAAGAAUUAAAACUUAACAAAUUGGGCCACUUUGACAAUUUGACCUGAUUUUCAAGUAAGUCUAAUUUAAAUUUCUUGAUUGGGCUUGGAACAUCUUAUUGGGCCGUUUCUUUAAGCAUUUGGGCUUGUAAGCCGUUCUCUUCUGAAAUUGGUUCGUUGAUGCUCGUAACUGAGAUCCAAUGCGCCUUAGCUGCAAGAUUUAGUUUUUUGGACCAAGAUUUCCAAGAUUUGAAAUCUUAAUUUUCUUGAUUCUUGAAAAUGCUCAAAACAACAAAAUUGGACCAAGAUUCGGUUUCUUGAUUUUCUUGAAAACAAGAAAGUGAAUCUUGAUUUUCUUUUUCCUUCGUGUACGCAUCUAAGGCCUUGCUAAUAAAUUCUUGAAUGGUUCCAUUUAGUUUUGAAUGCAUUUGUCUAGCCUUUGACCUCGUUAUUGGGCCUUGUGGUAAUUUGGGCCCAUCAUGUCCUUGAGCUUGAAUUGGGCCUUGUGACUCGGAUCAGAGAUGAUGUUUCCUACUCCAAAGCUGCCAUUUAUUUCUUUCACAUUGCUGGAUUCAUUUUGGCUGUUCGGUUCAUGGUGUUCACACUCAAGGACUCUUCAAAGGUGAGCAUUCACACUUCAAAUGACUGUCCAAUUUUCUAUUAAUUGUUGGUCACUUUUCAGCCAAAAAUUGCAUCUUAAAUGAGCUUAUUUAAGCUCAUUGGCCAAACCUAGCUGAUAGAGGGUUGCGCGCGGACCAAGAUCGAGUUGUCAAGUCAAGGGAAACUCCUACGAAGAACGCUAAACACUUGGAUCUGAAAAGAAGCAGAAAGAACAAAUCUUAGAAUUUCCAGAUCUGAAAUAAAAACUCUAAAACAACAAAGAAUAAACCAAGAAUCGAAACACUUAUUAUUAGGGAAUUCGGAAGUCAAGAACACGUGAAUAAACUUCAAAGAAGUCUCUAAUUCAACCGAAUCAUUCAAUUGCACCAAAACAGAAAGUUAAUUCAUCAGAUAACAAAAAGAACGAAAAUUGAUUUAGAAUGAGGAAUCGUGCAGCAAGAAAGAGGGAAAUUAUGGAUUAAGAAUGAUCUUUGAUAAUCAAGAAUGAUUAUGAGCUUCCCAAACCAAAUCUGAAAAGAUUAACAUCCAAAACAGCAAAUCAAACUCCAAAUUCCAGCAAACCAAAUUUAAUCAGGAUUGUGAUGAAUAGACGACAAGAUCAAUGGAAAAGAUGAAUUAAUGAUCGAUUCUUAGAGCCAAGAAGGGUGCCGAUCAGUUUCUUUAAUGUUGAAAAAGGUUGGAAUCGCAACAAGAAAUCUUAAACAAGUUAGAUAAUGAAAUCGACACAAGCAGAAAUUAAAAAGAGAUUGAACAGCAAGAAAAUAAAGAUAAAGUCCUAAGAAGCCUUGAAAUCCCGAAAGAUUUCACAACUCCCUUCAAAUGGCUCUAAUCUCCCCUCCAAUAAAGAACAAUGGCAAGAAAAAGGCUGAAGAUGGCUCCCACAAUCUAAAAGAUUGUUAAAACUACUUCUAAAGAAAACUCAAGAGAAAAUUCUUGAAGAACUCAAAGAGAAUUUUCACUCACAAACAAAUCUGAAAAUUUAAUGUAAUUCAAGGUGUUUUCUAAGGGUGGCCAGCCAAGCCUUAAUGUAAGCCUUCAAACUAUUUCCUAUCCCUAUUAGAAAAACUAAAAAAAAUAAAACCUAAUUAACUUCAAGGGAAAUUCGGCCAAGGCUUUUAAUGGGCUUCUUGGGCCGAAUUUUUACAUAGGAAUAAAAAAUAAAAAUUUAAACUAAGUAUUUAAAAAUAAAACUUUACAAAUUGGGCCACUUUAAUAAUUUGGCCUGAUUUUCAACAAAGUAUGAUUUGAACUUCUUGGUUGGGCUUGGAACAUCUUAUAGGGCCCUGACUUCAGAAACUUGGGCUUCUAGUUCGUCUCCUACUGAAAUUGGUUCGUUGAUGCUCGUAACGAAGAUCCAAUGCGCCUUAGCUGCAUGAUUUGGUUUCUUGGACCAAGAUUUCCAAGAUUUGAAAUCUUGAUUUUCUUGAUUCUUGAAAUUGCUCCAAACAACAAAAUUGGACCAAGAUUUGGUUUCUUGAUUUUCUUGAAAACAAGAAAGUGAGUCUUGAUUUUCUUUUUCUUUCAUGUACGCAUCUAAGGCCUUGCGAACAAAUUCUUAAAUGGUUCCAUUUAGUUUUGAACGCAUUUGUCUGGCCUUUGACCUCAUUAUUGGGCCUUGUGGUAAUUUGAGCCCAUCACAUUCCUGAGCUUGAAUUGGGCCUUUAUGACUCGUAUCACAAGUUCUUGAAGACAAGGGCCAAUAAGAUGUUCUAGGCCCAAUCAAGAAAUUUAAAUUAAACUUAGUUGAAAAUAAGACCAAAUUGUCAAAGUGGCCCAGUUUGUUAACUUUUAAUUCUUUAAAUACUUAGUUUUCAUUUUUAGACUUUAUGAAUAAAUUUCUAUGUAAAAAUUCAGUCCAAGAGGCCCAUUUAAAGUCCUUGGCCGAAUUUCCCCUUUAAAGUAAAAAAAAAAUUAGGUUUUUUUUAGUUUUCCUAUUAGGACUAGAAAAAUAGUUAGAUGGCCUAUAUGUAUGGCUUGGCCAGCCACCCUUAGACACGUUACACUUGAAGAUUACAUUGAAAUUAGAUUUUUUUUUGUUGAGUGAAAAUUCUCUUUGAGUUCUCCAAGAAAUUUCUCUUGAGUUUUCUUUAGAAGGAGUUUUAACAAUCUUUUUGAUUGUGGGAGCCAUCUUCAGCCUUCUUCUUGCCAUUGUUCUUCAUUGGAGGGGGAGAUUAGUGCUGUUUGAAGGGAGUUGUGAAAUCUUUCUCGAUUUCAAGGCUUCUUAUGACUUUAUCUUUAUUUUUCUUGCUGUUCAAUCUUUUUAAUUUUUUGCUUGUGUCGAUUUCAUUAUCUAACUUGUUUAAACUCUCUUGUUGCGUCUCCAGCCCCGUUAAAACCGAACCUAUCCAUCUCCAAAACCAAUCCAUCUUGUGAAGCCAUUUUAAUUACUUCCGCUCAAGCAUUUCCAUAAAGCUAUCUUCAAUUUAACAACGAACGCAACUUCUCGUCGACGAUCGGGCACUUAAGUGAAUCGACUCAACCAACUGAGCCGGAUCACAUCAUUUACUUUGAACUUGUGUGCAUCACGUAAAUCUCGAAUUGUGACUGGGCCAUGAGGAAAUACGUCGACAACUUCCAAAGGUCCAGACCAACGUGAACGCAAUUUACCUGGGUGCAAAUUGAGUCGAGAAUUCAAUAAUAAAACUUGUUCACCCGCGAUAAAUUGUUGCUGUACAAUAAUCUUGUCAUGCCAUCAUUUGAUCUUUUCCUUAUAAAUCACAACGUUUUCAUAGGCAUUUCUCCUAAUCUCCUCUAGUUGAGUGAUAUCUAACAGCCUUUUCUUUCUAGCCACUUCAUAGUCCAUGUUCACUUGCUUAAUUGCCCACAUUGCUUUGUGUUCCAAUUCAACUAGAAAGUGACAUGUUUUCCCAAAAACCAAUUGAUACGACGACAUCCCUAAUUGAGUUUUGUGUGUUGUCCGUAAUGCCCAUAAAGCGUCAUCCAAUUGAAUAGACCAAUCUUUCCUCGAAGGGUUUACAACAUUCUUUAGAAUGUUCUUAAUUUGUCAAUUUGAUACUUCAACUUGUCCAUUGGUUUACGGAUGGUAAGUAGUAGCCAUUCUAUGAUUAACUCUAUAUCUCUUCGGUGUGGUUGUCACUUGGUUGCAAUGAAAGUGUGUACCCUAAUCACUAAUCAAUUCAUUUGGUGUGCUGAAACGGGUGAGUAUAUGCUUGUGAAAAAAAUUUAGCACUGUCUUUGCAUCAUCCUUUGAAACUGCAACAGCUUCAACCCACUUCAAGACGUAGUCAACAACUACUAAUAUAUAAAGAUUUUAAAAUGAACUCGGAAAUGGUCCCAUAAAAUCCAUAACCCAAAUGAUAGAGGGUUGCGCGUAGACCAAGAUCGAGUUGUCAAGUCACGGAAAACUCCUACGAAAGCUAUAGACAACUCAGAUCUAAAAUGAAAUAGCAAAACUAAUUUAGAAUCAAUUAGAUCUGAAACGAAAAUAUCCAAAUCAAUAAAAGAUCAACCAAGAAUUAAAAACACUUAGGAAUAGCUAAACUUGGAAGCCAAGAACAUGAAAUUGAAUUCAAGCUAGGUUCCAAACAGCCGAAUCUGAAAAGAAGAACACAAAACAGCAAGUUAAUUUCAAAAAAAACUCAGCAGAUCACGAAAUCAACUAGAUCUAGGGUUUGGAUGGCAAUAAAGAGAGCUUUAUGAAAUCAAAAUGGUUCUUGUUGUCCAAGGUUGGUACUGAAUAGAUUCUUGAAGGUUGAACGGGGCUGGAGACGCAACAAGAGAGUUUAAACAAGUUAGAUAAUGAAAUCGACACAAGCAGAAAAUUAAAAAGAUUGAGCAGCAAGAAAAAUAAAGAUAAAGUCCUAAGAAGCCUUGAAAUCGAGAAAGAUUUCACAACUCCCUUCAAACAGCUCUAAUCUCCCCUCCAAUGAAGAACAAUGGCAAGAAGAAGGCUGAAGAUGGCUCUCAUAAUAAAAAAGAUUGUUAAAACUCCUUCUAAAUAAAACUCAAGAGAAAAUUCUUGGAGAACUCAAAGAGAAUUUUUACUCAACAAAAAAAAUCUGAUUUCAAUGUAUUCUUCAAGUGUAAUGUGUAUAAGGGAGGUUGGGCAAGCCAUACAUAUAGGCCUUCUAACUAUUUUCCUAGUCCUAAUAGGAAAACUAGAAAAAAAACCUAAUUUUUUUUACUUUAAAGGGGAAAUUCGGCCAAGGACUUUAAAUGAGCCUCUUGGACUGAAUUUUUACAUAGAAAUAUAUUCAUAAAUUCUAAAAAUGAAAACUAAGUAUUUAAAGAAUUAAAACUUAACAAAUUGGGCCACUUUGACAAUUUGGCCUGAUUUUCAACUAAGUUUAAUUUAAAUUUCUUGACUGGGCUUGGAACAUCUUAUUGGGCCUUGUCUUCAAGAACUUGGGCUUGUAAUCCGUUCUCUCCCGAAAUUGGCUUGUUAAUGCUCGUAACUGAGAUCCAAUGUGCCUUAGUUACAAGAUUCGGUUUCUUGGACCAAGAUUUCCAAGAUUUGAAAUCUUGAUUUUCUUGAUUCUUGAAAUCGCUCAAAACAGCAAAAUUGGACCAAGAUUCAGUUUCUUGAUUUUUUUGAAAACAAGAAAGUGAAUCUUGAUUUUCUUUUUCGUUCGUAUACGCAUCUAAGGCCUUUGUGACUCGUAUCAUUACCCCCUUCCUCAAAAAGAUUCGUCCUCAAAUCUAAAAAAUCAAAUGGAGAUAAGUCAGCCACAUUAAAAGUAGAACUUACAUUGUACUCACUGGGUAGGUCAAUUUUGUAUGCAUUAUCAUUGAUCUGCUCGAGUACUUGGAAAGGCCCAUCGCCUCUUAGAUCCAACUUGGUCUUUCUUUUUGUAGGAAAUCGUUCUUUCCUCAUAUGGACCCAAACCCAAUCUCCGAGUACUAAGUCCAUUUGGUGUUCUAUCCCACGUAAAGGUGGUAAACCUUUAGGGGCCUCACUAAAAACAUCCUCAUAAUCCUGCAAAAGACAUUGAAACACACUAGGAAAAUUUUCGUUAAUGUUAGAUAGAGAUAAAUAGUUUUUCCUAAACCUCACAAGAAUAUAAGGUUGUUUAUUGAGUAGGGCUCUCCGCACAUCUUUUUUGUUGCAAUUAAAAUUUUCACUCUAGUUUACCACUUGCGGAUGCACUCACCUUUGGACCAUUUAAAUUUUGACUUUUUUCACUACUAGCCUCUUUUCUCUCUGUCUCUUUUAUUUGUCCUGUCUCCCUUACCCCCUCACAAAAUUUAUCAUUUUUAAUUGAUCUUUAUAUACAUAAUUGGGAUUUAAAGGAACAAAAGUGAAUUUUCGACCUUUAAACAUAAGAGAGUAUCUAUUGAGCUUGCCUUGGUGUGUAACAUCACGAUCAAAUUGAUAAGGCCAUCUAAGGAGCAAGUGUGUUGCAUGCAUUGGGACCACAUCACACCAUACCUCAUCCUCGUAAUUCUCGAGCUUAAAAGUAAUCAAGGACUAUUUUGUAACUUUAACUUUUGAGCAUUUAUUAAGCCACUAAAGGUGAUACGGCUUAGGGUGCUUGGUACAAGGUAACUUUAAAGAAUCCACCAAAUAACUGCUAAUCACAUUCGAACAACUCCCACUAUCAAUAAUAAGUGAACAUAAGUUACCUUUUAUAAAACACCUAGAAUGGAAAAUAUUGGUCCUUUGGCUAUCAAAAUCAUCUCCCAUUUGGAUGUUAAGGGUGCGGCAGACUACCAUCUUAUUUUUUUCUCUUUUUUUUUGAAAUACCUACAAAAUAAAUGAUACGCUGGGUAAAUAAUUCAACCUCCAUAAUUGGUUGUGCAACAUUUCAUUGCGUCGGGAUAUAGAACCGGUGCGCUGACACCUAUCACAUUGAUUUACAAAAUUAUGGGUGUCUUUGAAUAAUGUCAGCCAGUAGAAUCCUGAUUGGAGAACUUUAGCAACAGUUGUCAUACCACCAAAAGAACCUCCAUAAGGAGCAUCAUGAAAAUGCUUCAAGAUUGAAAGCAUCUCCUCUUCCAGAACACAACGUUGAAUAAUGUUGUCAUUGCAUACCUUGAAUAAAAAUGACUUAUUCAAAUGAUAUUUCACUACAUCAUGAAAAAUCUUUCUUUUUUAUGGCCUGUGACACCCAAUGGGAGUUUUUCACAUACUAGAUAAUUAACAAAAUCUGCAUACCAAGAAGUUGUAUCUACAGCAAAUAACUUCUCAUCUGGGAAUGCUCGACAAUUGGAAGUAUGUUUCCAUCUUCACUACCAACUGCCAAUCGGACAGAUGGUCUGCAACUUGAUUUUCCCUUACGAUCUUUUAUCUCAAUGUCAAAUUCUUGCAACAAUAAUAUCUAGCAUAUCAGUCUUGGUUUGGCAUCUAUUUUCGCAAAAAGAUAUCUCAACACUGAGUGAUUAGUGAAUAUAGUAACCUUUGCGCCGAAAAGAUAUGAACAAAACUUGUCAAAAACAAAGACUACAACCAGCAAUUCUGAUACGAACUCUUUUCAGAAAUGAUUCGAGUCAUUUAGAUUGCCCGAUCGUGAAUUGAGUAAGGAUAGAUUCAUUUCAAGUUAAAUGAAACAAAAUAGGAUAAAUGACUUCAAACAAUGGUAGUAGGUAAAAUGGUUAAGUAAAAUAAUGGAUAAUUGGCUAAGAUCGAGAAUGAACCAACAAUAUUGGCUUGUUGACCUGAGUCUCAAAAUGGCUCUUAGGUGAAAACAAAUAGCAAGGAACCUUGACCCACUAUCAAAUGUGAUUGGAACCAAAGGUAUAAUGAACACCACAUCAAAAGGUGAUAAGUUCAGUUUAGCAAAGGAAGGGAUGACACCACAAGAAAACUUGAUAAGUCAAUUCAGUCCCGAAAUGAACAAGAAGAAUUGGAAAUCUCACAAGUUUCAAUUUUAACAUAAAUUCAGCAAAAAGUCUUUUCACAAUGAGCUGAUUACAAUAUUUAUAGUGCUAGAGAAGGCCUAGAUGAAAGGUCACAAUUGUUCAGCUUAAAUGAGUUAAUAAUGAGCUGAAAUAAAACUUAAUCACUAAGCUCAAACUCUUUAAAUUCUAGGCCUAAAUAACAACCACUAUUAAUAAAACUCAAUGUCCUAAUUCAGCUAAUUCAAUAAGCUUGAAUGUUUAAGUUUUUUCCUUGGUCAGCCGAAUAGUCACCAGCAAAUUCAUGAUAUUUUUGGCACACUAACAGACCAUGGAGUGUUCUUAAAGAAGCAAUCAGUUAUAAAGCUUGUAAUUACUCCUUUGUCCAUUGCUAUUCUCGAACAGCUCCUUGAAGAAGAUGGAGAGGUUGCCGAUUUUAAUGAUGCUCAUUACUCUCCUUUUUAUUGUUGUAACAACCCCUUGAAUGUAACCAAUGUUAGCUGAAUAGUUGCAUUUAUCACUUUGUAAUAGCCCUUGUAUAUAACUGAUUUCAACUAAAAAGUCACCUACAAGCAAUUCUUAACAAACUCAUUAAAUCACAUUUAAACACACUAAACUUAAUAAACUUAAUUAAUAAGUUGUAAAUAAACACAUUAAACACUUAACUUAUUCCAGCAACUAAAUAAACUAAGAUAAGCAUUAAAUUCAACAAUUAAGUAACUAAAAUGAGUUAAAUAAAAGAAAGUCCAAUAACUCAAUUACUAACUAAGAUAAGUUUAAUAAAGUCCAGCAACUCAUUUAUUAACUAAGAUGAGUUUAUUUAAAUUAAAGUUCAGCUUGCAAUAAAUUGCAAAUGACGCUUGAUGAGUUGAACCAAGAACGUUUGCAGGGCGUGUUCGUAUCAAAUUCUUUCUUCGUGGUGGUAUAAUUGAAUUGAGCCUCUGUAAGAGUUUUGCUAGCAUAAUAGAUGGUGUGAAAUAUUUUUACCUUUUGUUGUCCUAGAAUCGCACCCACAGCAAAGUCGCUUGCAUCACACAUAACUUCAAAAGGUUGAGACCAAUCUGGUGCAACGACAAUAGGUGCAUUCACUAGUUGCUGUUUUAACUGAAUAAAGGCAUCUAGACAUGCAUCGUCAAAGAAGAAUUUUCGAUUCUAUUCCUGAUACGAUCUCACUUACGGAAUGUAAUUGAGUCAUUUGAAAGCCCGAUUGAAAAAUUAAGCAGUUCUCAUUUUAGUUAGCAAAUGGAUAUAUUUCAAGAAGAUAGUUAAAAUAGGCAGCGGAUAAAAUAAAGAUAGUUAAUGGAAAAUGGAUAGUUGAGCUUAAAGCAAGACAGAACCCUUAAUAAAGAUUAAUGACCCAAAUUGUAUAAGUUUUAAGAUGAUAAAAUGAUUUGUUGAAAAUGGACCGUGACCUACUAUCUAGCGAGAUACGAACCAACGGUAUCAAGUUUGAACGCCACACUCGGAGGAGUGAUAAGUUCAAUAAAAAGGUUGACGCCACUGGCUUAGCUACAUAAGUUAAGUUGAAUCUUCAAGAAAAAACAAAAGUGAAUAACUCACCAAGUUAUAUUUCAUAUAUGUCAAAAAGUUCAAAGUUUUCUUCAAAAGGUUUACAAUUGUGCUAUUUAUAAGCUAACAAUCAACCAGCCGAAUGGACAGGAAUUAAAUGAAGCUAAAGGAAUUUAAUUGCCAACUAAAACAAAUUGAUGAAUUUAACUAAGUAUGGUGCCGAAAUAGCAUUGGUUCAUAGUGUUGAUGGAUGAGCUAAAUGAAGUUGGAUUUGGUGAAUGGAGGUAAUGUCAAAAAGGUGCACCGAAUGAGAAAUAGCUGGUGAAUGUACUUGCUUCCAGUUGAAUGGUCUUUGAGGUGUGAACACUCGGGUUUCUGAAUGUGAACAGCAAGAAACAAUGAACGCUUGAAGAGGUAGCAUUUUAAGCUCAUACUCAUUGGCUUAGGUACAUGAAUAAUUCGGCUGGAGAAUGCACCUAGUAGCUCCCUUGAUACAUGCACAAUUGGGUGCAUGAUCCUUCUUUAACUAAUUUCAAUGUAUCGAUUAGAUACAUGCAUGUUCGGCUAAAUAAUAGCUCCCUUGUUUAUGCACAAUUCAUGUACAUUGCUCAUCAUUUAAUAUCUUCAAUGUAUCAACUAUGUUCAUGAACUUCUAGCUCAAAAUCAUCUCCCAAAAUUCAUACUUAAUUCAGGUGCAUGUGCCACAUUGAAUGAGCUUCAUUGAAUCAACUUGUGCAUGAAUUUUCCAUUUGUAUGCUUUAAAUCUAUUAAGACAAAUUAAAACAACUUAAAAUAAAAUAAACACACAAUUAAAAAUGUAAUGGACUAAAACAUAUUUAAUAACUGUAAUUCAAGCUGUAAUAAACUCAAACAUAAUUUAAUGACCUGAAAUAAUUAAAAUGUCCAAAGUCUAGCUAGCUAAGUGAGCUAGCUGAUUCAAAUUCAGCUCCCAGCAAAUUGAGAUUGCUUCUUGUUGGUUCGUCCAGCUCCUUUGGAGCUUUCUCCCAAGCUUGUUCAACUAGAACCGAUAAGGACUCUGUAAAACAUUUAGCUCGAGCUCGAGUAAUUGGUCCAACAGGGAGCUUGAGGGAAUCUCGUUUGGGGUUGGCUAGCUCUAUAGGCUGGUUCGCAUCAGUUCCAACAAUAAGUACAAGGGCUUUUCAAUUUUUGAAAAAUAUCUAAUAAACCUUUGAUAAAACCUUGCAUGUCCAAGAAAACUACAAAUACCCUUCACGUUUGUUGGUGGAGGUAAUUUCUCAAUGAUUUCCACUUUAGCUUUGUCUACUUGAAUGCCUUAACUGGAGAUGCAAUGGUUUAACACAAUGCCAUCGGUUUCCAUGAAAUGACAUUUUUCCCAAUUCAGGACAAGAUGUGUGUCCUCACAUCGCUUCAAUACUUUAUCCAAAUUGUCAGUGCAAUGAUCAAAAUCAUUCCCACAGACUAAAAAAUCAUCCAUAAAAAAUUUUAAAUAGUCUUUGAUCAUAUUUGAGAAUAUUGCCAUCAUGCAACUUUGAAAUGUGGCUGGUGAAUUGCAAAGACCAAAAGGCAUAUGGAGAAAAGCGAAAGUACCAAAGGGUCAGGUGAAGGUUGUUUUCUCUUGAUCCUCCGGUGCAAUAGCAAUUUGAUUGUAUCCAAAAUAGUUCUCUAAAAAGCAAUAAUAGGCCUUUCUAGCAAGCCGAUCCAACAUUUGGUCAAUGAAAGGAAGUGGGAAGUGAUCCUUCUUUGUGAUCGCAUUCAAAAUUGAGUAAGUUGAAACCUUUUCAAGAAAUACAAGUUAAAGAAAGAAGAGAUUUAGGCUCGAAUAGGUUCAAUGAGGUUAUAGAAUGAUUCAGGAAAUGAUGAAUGGAAUUUGGCUAAGGAUUUAAGACCGAACUAACACAAUAAAGAUGUGUUAACCCGAGACUUUUGUGAAUACUUAGGUUGGGAAAGUGUCAGAUGGAUGGUAAAGUAGGUGAAUAAGACCUCGACCCGCUAUCAAUGAUGAUAGGAACGGUAUAACUUGAACACCACACUUUGGGUAUAAAGUAAUAAGUUUAGAAUAACAAAGACGGGUUGACGCCACAAGAGUUACUUGAUAAGUCAGACAAGUCUUUGGAGAACAAUGAGAGUUGAAAAUAAACUCACAAAGUAAAUAACAUUCAUAAAAGGUUCAAAAGUCCUUUACAAUGAAAUGAAAGAAAUAUUUAUAGUCACACUAUAGGCUAGUUGCAUAGUCCUUAAGCAGCUAAAAGGUUUGAUAUGAGUCACAAAGGCCCAACCCAAGUGCAAGAACAUGAUGGGCUCAAAUUACCACAAGCCUGAUAUGAGCUCGUUUCGUAUGAAAUAACGACUCGUAAUAUUUCCCGAUCGAAAUUAGGUAGUGUCGGCCUUGAAAUAAAUUCAAGUCUUGGUGUUUAAAAUUAAAUGGCUUUGGGAAACAAGGGAGUUUGAUGGAGUGUUGUUUGCUGGAUAUUUCAAUGAAAACAAGUCGAACCCUUAUUAGCAAAUAAGGACCCGGGGCUUAAGGUUUCAAAGAAAGAAAGGAUUUGGGAUAAAACUGAGACCCUCUAUUUAGCAAAAUAGGAACCUACGGUAUGAAGAACGCCACACCAAUGGUGAUAAGUUCGAAACAAAGUCAGAUUGACGCCACUUGUUGAAGAUAAGUCAAUUUGAGCUUUGGAGAAUAAAGAGAGUGAAUUGCCUCACUAAAAUGAUAUUUCAUUCAGAAAUUUGUCAAAAGUCCUUUUACAAGAAAUUGAGCAACUAUUUAUAGUCUAAUGUCUAGUAGCCGAAUGGACAUAUUCUAGACUUAAUUUCUAAGCAAAAAUUGAACAAAAAUUCAGCUUAAAUUCAUGUAUAUGCUUGCAUCAAGGUUCGGCUGAAUGGAGACCAAGGAAGAGCUUUCAAUGAACUUGGAAAAAUGGCAGCAGCUACAUUCGGCCAAUGGAGUUUAAUGAGGUCAUUCAUGAAGCAACUAUUGAUGAAAAAUUACCAGCAUUAAUUGGCAACUUGAACAGCCAUUUAGAAAUGUGAAUGGACGGUUUUGAAGAGCCUUGAAGUGUGAACAUGGCUGAACCGAAUAGACAUAGUGUGAACAGAUUUUAUACGCCCUUGGGAAGAGAAUCGGCCAAGCUUGAAAGGAUGAAAAGCUUGAUCACUCUUGGCCGAAUAGUUGCCUUAAAGAACACCAAAAUUAAUCAGCUUUUAAUGCAUUAGUUCAGCUGCACAUGCAUCUUCAAAUUCAUUGAAUCUCCAUGCAUGAAUCUGCCCAAUUCAUCUCCAAAUUCGGCUGCACCUAAAAAUAAACAUGAACUUAAUUAAUUUCAAGCAAAUUCAUCUGAACUAAAUUAAAAUAUAAUGUGAACAUCCUAAAUAACAUUGAGACAACUUAAAUAUUAACAAAUCAUAACACAUAAAUUCGGCUAGACAAAUUUAAAACAUGUAAUAAUUUAGACAAACUAAAUGACAUCAAGACAUCUUUAAUUUAACUAAAUCAAGACAUAUUAAACACUUAAAUUAAUUAAGACAUAUUUAAAAGCUGUAAUGAAACUUAUUUAAAUGUUUAUUUAAAUUGUCUAAAUUCCAGCAUCAAAUUAAUUAGCUAGAAUGAAAUUCAGCUUCAAAGAAGUUGAAUAUGUUCAGCUCGUUUUUAAACUCCUUGCUAUCAUUUUCCUCAACCCGUUCCACCAUUGCUAAAAUAGCAUCUUUGAAUCGUUUAGCUCUAGCUCGCGUUAUUGGACCAAUGGGCAGCUUGAUGGCUUCUUGUUCGUUCUCCAUUUGGUUCGUAGGCAAGCUCACAUCAAGGCCCAAUAACGAGGUCAAAGGCCCGACAAAUUUGUUCCAAAUUAAAUGGGACCAUUCAGGAAUUUGUUAGCAAGGCCUUAGAUGCGUACAUGAAAGAAAGAGAAAAUCAAGAUUAGCUUUCUUCUUUUCAAGAAAAUCAAGAAACCGAAUCUUGGCCCAAUCUUGCUGUUUGGAGCGAUUUCAAGAAUCAAGAAAAUCAUGAUUUCAAAUCUUGGAAAUCUUGGUCCAAGAAACCGAAUCUUGCAACCAAAGCGCAUUGGAUCUCCAUUACGAGCAUCAACGAACCAAUUUCGGUAGGAGAUGGACUACAAGCCCAAGUUCUUGAAGGCAAGGCCCGAUAAGAGGAUUCCAAGCCCAACCAAGAAGUCAAACCAUACUUAGUUGAAAAUCAGGCUAAAUUGUUAAAGUGGCCCAAUUUGUAAAAAUUUUAAUUGUUUAAUUUAAUUUUUAGACUUUAGGAAUAUUAUAUGUAAAAAUUCGGCCCAAGCAGCCCAUUAAAAUGACUUGGCCGAAUUUCCCUUUUAAAUUUGUUAAUUAGGUUUUUUUUUAAUUUUUCCUAAUGAGAUUAGGAAAUAGUUAUAAGGCCUAUUUAUAGGCAUGGCCGGCCACCCUUGUUACACACAUUACAAUUACAUUGAAAAUUUCAGAUUUGCUUUGAGUGAAAAUUCUCUUUGAGUUCUUCAAGAAUUUUCUCUUGAGUUUUCUUUAGAAGUAGUUUUAACAAUCUUUUUGAUUGGGGGAGCCAUCUUUAGCCUUCUUCUUGCCAUUGUUCUUCAUUGGAGGGGAGAUUCGAGCUGUUUGAAGGGAGUUGUGAAAUCUUUAUCGAUUUCAAGGCUUCUUAGGACUUUUCUUUAUUCUUUUGCUAUUCAUUCUUCUUUAUUAAAUUCUGCUUGUGCCGUUUUGUUGAAUAAUUUGGGUUUAAUUGUUCUUUUUUUGUUUCAACCAUUCCAAACUUCAAGAUCUGAUUCGGCACUUCCUUGGACAUAAAGAUACGUUUUUGAUUCAGAAAAAUUCCCCUUUUCUUGCCGUCCAACCCCUAGAACUGAUGUCCAUUGAUUUCACAAUUUGUUUUUAAUUUAGUUGCUAUUUUGUGUUCUUUGAUAGUUUCGGCUGAUUAGAAGUUAUUCUUGGGGCUUAAUUUCAUGUUCUUGUCUUCCAAAAACAUCUAUUCAUAAGUGUUUUGAUUAUUGGCUGUUCUUUAUUGCUUUGGAGAUUUUUAGUUUCCAGAUCUAAUUGAUUCUAAUUAAGUUUUGCUGUUUCGUUUUAGAUCCAAACGUUUAGAGCUUUCGUAGGAGUUUCCGUGACUUGACAACUCAAUCUUGGUCCGCGCGCAACCCUCUAUCAUUUGGUAUCAGAUUUUGGGCGUUUUGGGUGUUCUUGGUUGAUUUCUAAACUGAUCUCUAUUUUUUAAAUUACAAAGAGCAGUUUUACCCAAAAAAAGUUUUCGAAAAAAAUCUUUUGAGUGGCUAAACAUUGUCUGAUUGAUCUGAAAUUUUACAUACAUAUUUUUGGCACUCUGGUUGUAUAUUAAAAAAUAUUUCCCGCAAAAAAGUCAGUCGAAAAAGUCAAAAAAAUUGAAAAAUACGAAAUCCAUUAAAAAUUUAAAAAAAGAUUCAGCAGGUUGAGUUUGGUGCCCCAACUUUGCAAAUCAAAAAUUAAAUAUGUAAGGACAUUCCAAAUUUAAUUUCAUGAUUUUUGGAGAUCGGGAACACCUCAAACGAAGUUGUCAAGUUACUCCACAGUUUUUCAGGUUUUUCGAUUUUAGCAAUUUUUAUUAAUUCUUAGCUGAAGGUUUUCAGUUGUUUGACUUUAUUAUUCCUUUAUACUAUCUAACACAUUCUUAUUUCUUGUGUUAGUAGGAUUUUAAGGUGUGCACAAUUCUUCCUCGGUGCGACACAAAUCUAUUGGUGUCUCGUCAGUUUUGGCAUCCUAGUGCAAAUUAGAAUUCUUUUGUAGUUUCGGUUCAUACACUUUCUAAUUGGUUAAUAUAGACUCUACUAAAGAACUUACAAGACUGAAUUCUACCUCAUUGAGAAUUUGAUUUUUCUUUUUGAGUGAUUAACGGUGAGGUUUGCUAAUUUUCCUUUUUGAGUGUUGAGUGUUGGUUUUGCAGGUUUUUGAAAAAAGAAAAAAAAAUGUCGAGAGUUGGUGAUGACCAUAAUAAUGUCCAUGAUAAAUUUAAAAAGAUCCAACAACUGUUAGACGAAUGGGCUGCCUUACUUCAAACUUUGAGUGCUACUAUCAAUGAGGUGCGAUUGAAUCAAGAGCCUCAAUAUCGAGAUCCAAUUAAAGAUGAUGUGGAUAACCAUCCUCGAGCUCAUAGGCACUCUCCUAGACAUGUCCCUAGAACUGAUUAUGACGUUUAUGAUAGCGGACAACCCUCUUUGGCAAAACCAAAGCGUGAGCAGCAACGAGAACAUCUCUUUCAUACUCGCUGCCAUGUACAAGGUAAGUUUUGUAAAGUUAUUAUUGAUGGUGAAAGUUGCUCGAACGUAGCCAGCACGACGAUGGUAGAAAAGCUUUGCUUAACCACUACCAAGCAUCCACAACCUUAUCAACUACAAGGGCUUAGCAACGAAGGCCAAUUUAAGGUCACUCAACAAGUGCGCAUCGCCUUUUCUAUCGGCAAGUAUUAAGACGAAGUCGUGUGCAACGUAGUACCUAUUCAAGCCUUCCAUUUGUUGUUAGGAGAACCAUGGCAAAGGGAUCGAAAGGUCACCCACGACGGUCGUACCAAUAGGUAUUCUUUCAAGCAUCAAGGAAGGAAAGUCACCUUAGUGCCGCUCACUCCGGAACAAGUCCAUGAGGACCAAAUCAAACUGAAAAAUUCUGUUGUUAAAACAAGUGAUGAAAAAGAAAAAGGAGAAGAGAAAAAUAAAAGUGAAAAGAAGAAAAUGAAAAUGAAAAAGGCGAAAAGGAAAGUGAGAGAGAAACAAAAGAAAAUGUGAAUGAAGUGAGUGAAAAAGAGAGAGAGCUUAAACAAGUAAUGAGUGAAGAAGAAGAGAAUGCUCAAACACAAUGGAGGAAUAUUUUUGCUAACCCCUAUUCGAAAUCGCCUUGUGAUUUCUCUUUGUUUCAGGUUUGCAAGUUUCUACCCAUGGACAUGUUCCAGCUUCAUUACCAUUCUACUGAGAGAUUUUUUCAAUUGAUUGAACAAGGUAAAACUGAUCCUCGUUUUCCCACCUCUAAUGGUAAGCAAGGUGAAGUUUCUCUAUUCUCUCAACAACUUCAUUCAACUAGUAUUGAUGACUUUGCUCAUGACUUAAAUUUUGAAAAGGUACUGUAUGUUAUUGUCGAUAAUUGCCAUUCUUGGAUUGAUGACAUUUUAAGUUACUCAACAACAUUAAAUGAUCAUGUUUUCCAUGUUAGAACGGUUUUAGACAUUCUAAGAGCUGAAAAAUUGUUUGCCAACCUUGAUAAAUGCACAUUUUGUUGUGAUAAGCAAAUAUUUUUAGGUUUCAUAAUUAGUGCUCAAGGUAUUCAUGUCGAUGAGGAUAAAGUUAAGGCAAUCAAGGAGUGGCCAACUCCUAAAUCGAUAAUUGAGGUGAGAUCUUUCCAUGCUUUAUCUAGUUUUUAUAGAUGAUUUGUGAAAGAUUUCUCCACUAUUGCUGAGUUGGAGAAAUCCUUACACGAGAAGGCUAGGCAGCGAAUAGCCAAAACAAAUGACAUUAACACCAACAAACCAAACAAGAGGCGCAAACGGGUUGUCUUUAAACCCAGAGAUUGAGUUUGGGUCCAUAUGAGGAAAGAACAAUUUCCUACAAAAAGAAAGACUAAGUUGGACCCAAGGGGCGAUGGGCCUUUCCAAGUACUCGAGCGGAUCAACGACAAUGCCUAUAAAAUUGAUCAACCUGGUGAGUACAAUGUAAGUUCUACUUUUAAUGCGGCUGACUUGUCCCCAUUUGAUUUUUCAGACUCGAGGACGAAUCUUUUUGAGGAAGGGGGAAUGAUACGAGUCACAAAGGCCCAACCCAAGCUCAAGAAUGUGAUGGGCUCAAAUUACCACAAGGCCCAAUAACGAGGUCAAAGGCCCGACAAAUGCAUUCCAAACUAAAUGGGACCAUUCAGGAAUUUGUUAGCAAUGCCUUAGAUGCGUACACGAAAGAAAGAGAAAAUGAAGAUUCACUUUCUUCUUUUCAAGAAAAUCAAGAAACCAAAACUUGGCCCAAUCUUGCUGUUUGGAGCAAUUUCAAGAAUCAAGAAAAUCAAGAUUCCAAAUCUUGGAAAUCUUGGUNNNNNNNNNNNNNNNNNNNNNNNNNNNNNNNNNNNNNNNNNNNNNNNNNNNNNNNNNNNNNNNNNNNNNNNNNNNNNNNNNNNNNNNNNNNNNNNNNNNNNNNNNNNNNNNNNNNNNNNNNNNNNNNNNNNNNNNNNNNNNNNNNNNNNNNNNNNNNNNNNNNNNNNNNNNNNNNNNNNNNNNNNNNNNNNNNNNNNNNNNNNNNNNNNNNNNNNNNNNNNNNNNNNNNNNNNNNNNNNNNNNNNNNNNNNNNNNNNNNNNNNNNNNNNNNNNNNNNNNNNNNNNNNNNNNNNNNNNNNNNNNNNNNNNNNNNNNNNNNNNNNNNNNNNNNNNNNNNNNNNNNNNNNNNNNNNNNNNNNNNNNNNNNNNNNNNNNNNNNNNNNNNNNNNNNNNNNNNNNNNNNNNNNNNNNNNNNNNNNNNNNNNNNNNNNNNNNNNNNNNNNNNNNNNNNNNNNNNNNNNNNNNNNNNNNNNNNNNNNNNNNNNNNNNNNNNNNNNNNNAAACGUGUGCCAAUUCUUCCUCGGUGCACACGAAUCAAUUGGUGUCUCGUCAGUUUUUAGCAUCCUAGUGCAAAUUAGGAUUCUUUGGUAGUUUGGUUCACACUCUCUAAUUGGUUGAUAUAAAUUCUGAUAAAGAACUCAAAGAUUGAAUUCGACCUCAUUGAGAUUUGAUUUUUCUUUUGAGUGAUUAAUGGUGAGGUUUGCUAACUUUUAUUUUUGAGUGUUGAGUUUUAUUUUUACAGGUUUUGAAGAUGUCUAAAGGUGAUAAUAAUGAUGCACUUAUGAAAGUCCAACACAGUUAGACAGACAUACUGCUGCAAUCACACAAAUAAAUGCUACACUCAACAUUGAAUACUACUUUGAAUAGGUACGAGUGAAUCAAAAUAUCAAUAUCGAGAUCCAAUUAAGGAAGAUAGGGAUAACCACCCCAUAGGUGCAACCCUCACGUGUCCCUAGAAUGGAUGAUGAUUGUCAUGAUCUUGGACAAUCAUCUUUGGCAAAACCAAAGAGCGAGCAGCAACGAGAACAUCUCUUUCAUACUCGCUGCCACGUACAAGGUAAGCUUUGUAGAGUUAUUAUUGAUGGGUGAAAGUUGCUCGAACAUAGCCAGCACGACGAUGUGGAAAAGCUUUGCUUAACCACAUACCAAGCAUCCACAACCGUAUCAACUACAAGGGCUUAGCAACGAAGGCCAUUUAGGGUCACUCAACAAGUGCGCAUCGCCUUUUCUAAUCGGUAAGUAUCAAGACGAAGUUGUGUGCGACGUAAUGCCCUAUUCAAGCCUGCCAUUUGUUGCUAGGAGAACAGUGGCAACUGGAUCGAAAAGUCACUCACGAUGGUCGUACCAAUAGGUAUUCUUGUCAAGCAUCAAGGAAAGAAACUCACCUUAGUGCCGCUCACUCUGGAACAAGCCCAUGAGGACCAAAUCAAACUGAAAAAUUCUGUUAAAACAAGUGAGGAAAAAGAAAAAGAGAAUGAAAAAGAGCAAAAAGAGAUUGAGAGUGAAAAAGAAAUUGAAGAAAGAAGAGAAAAUGAAUUAGAAAUAGAAACAAAGAAAAAGACGUGGAAAGGGUAGUGAGGAAUGUUUCCACUAACACAUCUCUGAAUUUUUCUUUUUCUACUUUUCAGGUUCCCGAAAUAUCAAAGAUAACUUUCACUUCAAUACCUCUCAAAUGAAGACCGCUUUCAUACGAUCCACUUAAGCAAAGAUGAAAUCACACUACAUGAUCCCGAAGGUAAGCGAGGUAAGGAAAUUUUAGAACCGAGUCCAGUGCAGAUUUGAAAAUUAUUGAUAAAACUUUUGGUGACUUAGUUCUUAAAAGAUCCCCUCAUUUUGAUCCGAUUAAUUGUUACUCUUCGAUUGUGGUUGAUAAAGUCAUUACGAAAAGAAGCGUGAUUUGUUAUUCUCUUGAUUUACCUUGUGUAAAAUCCUUGAAUUUGUCCAAAUCUGUUUUGGAGAAUAAGGUAACGAAAUUUUCAAAAUUUGUUUUCAAUUUAUAUUCGUGCCUUAAACAGUUUAUGUGGUUGUACAUGAAGUUUGAGUUCCAUUUGACAAACGUUAACUCAACAACGAAGAUUCGACUACACUAUGCCCCCGAUGAGCGAAGGUUUGUUUUAAAUGAAAAAGGUAAAAUCGACCCUUAUUCUUCUGCUUAUCGAGGUAAGAUGCUUGAAACCUUUGAAACACUUUUGUACUCCUCGGAUAGUGAUAAAGAUCGUGUUGAUGAACACUUAGAUUGAAACGUGCUUGACUGUCCUAUUUUAUUUAUUGAUGAUCUAUCUGUUUUGAUAGUUGAUAAAAAGAUUCUUGUUUUUGAUAAUGCAUGUGUGAGUGAAUCUAUAGACCGUCGAUUAAUGCAUGGUAUGAUUAUGCAACUCUGUGAACCAUGUGAAUCUUUUCAAAUACCUA